Molecule: long non-coding RNA, 666 nt
Organism: Atta colombica
Lineage: Eukaryota; Metazoa; Arthropoda; Insecta; Hymenoptera; Formicidae
Exons: 3
Source: RefSeq, a predicted model, not a curated record
CAGUGGUGGCGGCAGUGGCCGCAGGGGUGUCAGUCCGACACCCCUCAGCAGUAUAAACGGAAUUGCACGACGUAUCGUGAGAAAUUAAUGCCAGCAAGUGGCGUCCAUAGAGGUGUCUCUUUACCGCAUCCGGCCUUCCCCCUUUUGCGGAGUCACCACUAGUUAAACACGACGAGAAGCUCAUGCGAAAACGACGUGCAUUCGACGUGCCAUCCGACCAUCCGUGACACACUCGAUCGAUCUUUACUCGUGGAAGUGACCUGCACACGGCGAAACAAUGGGAAUAGAACAUUCGUCGCGAGCGUAUUGACUACCUCGUUUACCUACUCUGCUCGUUUCUAACAUCAAAUCGAACCGACCGCCAUUAUUCACGGCGAGGUAAACUACAAAAUUUUAUUUAAGAGCAAGAGCGAUACCUCCAUCACCUGGAUGUCUUUGUUCUUUGUACUCGUACUUGUCUCGCGAUCAACAUCGGGCAUCAGCACGAGAUGAAAUGGUAUCGAUAAAUGUCGCGAUGAGUGUCCAUGUAUGGGGUCCCGCAAAGUUUUAACGCGUCUGGUCCUCUGGAGAGAUCGGCGAGGGCACACAGUUCGCUAGUUGCCAGCCAAUGUAAUAAACGUUACUAUGUUGCUACGCCCCAUUCACGCCCCCCUGCCAUACGUCGGC